This 468-nucleotide ribosomal RNA is filed under the name uncultured bacterium. RNAcentral's name for it is "partial 16S ribosomal RNA". It matches the Rfam family "Bacterial small subunit ribosomal RNA", at positions 28 to 507 of the family's 1533-position model. The record is from RNAcentral.
GACGAACGCUGGCGGCGUGCUUAACACAUGCAGGUCGAACGGAAAGGCCCUGCUUUUGUGGGGUGCUCGAGUGGCGAACGGGUGAGUAACACGUGAGUAACCUGCCCUUGACUUUGGGAUAACUUCAGGAAACUGGGGCUAAUACCGGAUAGGAGCUCCUGCUGCAUGGUGGGGGUUGGAAAGUUUCGGCGGUUGGGGAUGGACUCGCGGCUUAUCAGCUUGUUGGUGGGGUAGUGGCUUACCAAGGCUUUGACGGGUAGCCGGCCUGAGAGGGUGACCGGCCACAUUGGGACUGAGAUACGGCCCAGACUGCUACGGGAGGCAGCAGUGGGGAAUAUUGCACAAUGGGCGGAAGCCUGAUGCAGCAGCGCCGCGUGCGGGAUGACGGCCUUCGGGUUGUAAACCGCUUUCGCCUGUGACGAAGCGUGAGUGACGGUAACGGGUAAAGAAGCACCGGCUAACUACGUG